UCUUCUCCAGACUUAGACCAAAACCUCACAAGCUUCAACGAUUUUUUUGAGCUUCAGCAACCCAAACAACCCCUACUCUCUUCUUCCAUCUUCACAACCCAAAACCCCUCACCUCUAAGACCGGCAACAGACCACCCAUCACGCCGGACAACACACCUCCCUUCACCCAUCGUUGCUUAUACUUCUUCCCGUUUACAACAACCAGCUGGAAACGCACACACUCACGCACGCACAGUAAGAGAAGAGGUACAAAACAGACAAAAAUCAAAAAGGAAGGCUCUAACCUGAAAGUUUUUAUUUGUUUUCUCUGAAUUUUCAGAAUAUAUACAUGUAAGUAGUCUCUGUUUUAGAAGUUAAUUGGAUUGAGCUUAAGCAAAACGAAAACGUCUCAUGUUUCCUCUUUGCGAUUCUGAGUUCUUGGUUUCAAUUUUUGAGUUCGAUUGAGGUUGAGUUGAGUUCGAGUUUGUCGACGAGAUUCGAGUUCCUCCGGCGAAUUCUGAGUUCGUCGAAGAUGCGUUAGUCUGAGAUUUCUGGCAGAUUCGCGGGUCUAUCACGAUGUUAUUGUGGAACUCUGUUCUGCUCCUUCCAGAUUUUGGAGUCGAUCCUAGCGGCGCUUAGUAGAUUGCUCAGAUUAAUUUCUUGACGAAGACUUGAGGUACAGCUGCACGACGUUUGCAGCCUUGGAGUCAACUUUCAUAUCACUCUAGCUGUUUACCAUAUUUUAGACAGUUAUUCUUUCAUUCAGACUUUUAUUUGUAGUACUCUAGCCGCUCGUGUACUUGUGACACUAGUUCCAAGAUUGUAUCCAGAUAUCAUUCUUAUUUUAGAUUACUCACUCAUUUCAGGUUA
This is a long non-coding RNA of Nicotiana tabacum (common tobacco), 849 nucleotides long. RefSeq lists it as uncharacterized. The record is from RefSeq and is a predicted model, not a curated record. NCBI's taxonomy places the organism in Eukaryota, Viridiplantae, Streptophyta, Magnoliopsida, Solanales, Solanaceae.